CUAUAAAGAGUUUAUAUAAUGUGUCAUUGCAUACCUAUUUGAAGGUUUGUGUCGAAUUUGAAUCGGGUUUUUAGGGCGGUGCUAAAGUGAUCUUAGAAGUAAACAGCGGCUUUGAGAAUGAUGAUCGCAUGCAAUGAUGACGAAAAAAAUGACUAGGUAUCCCCCCUUGCCCCUGUCACUGUCCAUUUCUUGUUUUUAAACGAUGAGAGAAGUGCUACACCUGGUGGAGAGAGAUUGUAACACAGAAAUAGUUGCUUUAUGUGUGCUGUACGUUACGACAUGACACAUCAAGAUGUAUCUGAGGGUCAGUUUUUUCAACUUUUCUCCAAUACUAUAGAGCCUUUACCAUGUCGAUUAACGCUUGAAUAGAAACCUAGUUCACACCCCCGAUUUUGAAGUCAACAUAGUCGCUACUGUCCCAUUAGUUUUCUUUGUAGCCUCGUUUGAAUGUCGCGGUUACGCACAUUUGUGCGGAACGGGGUGAGUUUACGUUAGCUAGCUAAGAUUGAAUGGACAGUACAACAUUUGAGCUAGCUAAUGUUAGCAUUGCUAGCUAUUUCUGACUAACUUUGGUAGCUAAUAGCAACAUUUCCCUCUCUUUAAAGUACAUUUGACAACAUAAUGAUGGCAAAGUUGCUUCCUACUAAUUAUUUGCCUACUUUAGCACUGUCAUUGUUUUUCAGAGCAAGAUGUAGUUUAAUUUAGACAACUCAUUAUGCCUGUUCAGAAUGACGGCAUUGGUCAUCAGUGGGGCACCAAUAUGGCUGCGGGCGGCGUCUGUAGAAAGUUCAUAACAAUGGGAACGAUACAACCGAGUGAAGGCGGUGCAAUCCAUGAAUAAAACUAGUCAACAACAUAAUUUGGGUAUGAGUUAACAUUAUGAUAUGCGUGAUGUGAGUUGUACAUUUCUGACCAACCAGGGUUGCCAGGUCAAGCAAAAAUGUCUCACCAAUGACCACUCAAAACCCGCCCAAAAGGCCUGAAUACUAGCCCUUUUUUUGUUGUUGCCAUAUCUAUACAAUAAACCAUUUGUUUCAUAACGUUUUCGAGCCAAUUAAGAAGGAAUAUCAUAGUAACGACGUUUGAAGCUAAAUUCGGGUUUCCUCAAAAUAAUAAUUAUUGCAAGCUAUGACAUAAAGGAAUUUGAAUAUGUAGCAAGAGAAGAUAAUUUUCCCUUAUUAAACUCGCCAGAUAAAUUUCCAUCAAUGGAUGUCAAUGUAACUCGUUUAACUGCUAUGAUUAAGCAAUAAGGCACAAGGGGGUAUGAUAUAUGGCCAAUAUACCACGGCUAAGGGCUGUUCUUAAGCAUGACGUAACGCGGAGUGCCUGGAUACAGCCGUUAGCCGUGGUAUAUUGGACAUAUACCACUACCCCCCGGGGUGCCUUAUUGCUAUUAUAAACUCCUUACCAAUGUAAUUAUAACAGUAAAAAGUUAUGUUUUGCCAUACCUGUGGUAUAUGGUCUUUCAGCUUUCAGCCAAUCAGAAUUCAGGGCUCGAUCCAGGUAUAUAAUUGUAAAUAAAUCCCCUUUGUGCAUAACUAUAGAUAAAUCUGACAGGAGUGUUUGAGUGAUGAAAGUUGGACAGAGGAUCUCUAAAUCUCUUGAGCAAGAAAUGCUUGAUGUACAUAAAAAAAAUAAUGUUAGUCAAUUGUGCUGUUUUUUUUAAAACCUUUAUUUAACUAGGCAAGUCAGUUAAGAACAAAUUCUUAUUUUCAAUGACGGCCUAGGAACAGUGGGUUAACUGCCUUGUUCAGGGGCAGAGCGACAAAGAUUACCUUGUCAGCUCAGGGAUUCGAUCACAAGUCCAACACUCUAACCACUAGGCUACCUGCCACCGCCUGUUAUUAUGUGCCAGAUGUCAAGACUACAAACCGUUAUAAAUGGCCCAUUUGCAAAAUUGAGUUUGCAUUUCAAUAGAUAUAGGCUACAGACUAAAAUCUGUGUUUAUGUUUGUAAUUACAUUUUGCCAUAGUUUGCUUAAAUAAAGGCAGGUAGCCUGUAGCCUAUAGCCCCUGAUAGGCCUACAUCUCACGCUUAGUUCAAAUGAACAGAAUAAUUUAUUCAACAUGAAUAGCGAGGCGAUUUCGCAAUAAGAAGUGCUUGAGUUUCCCAGUAAUAGGCUACUGAGGAUGUGGUCAUAAAUUCAAUCACUGAAUUAAAUAUUAAUAAUAUGUAUAUUACCCGAAUAUGCUUGUCAACAACAGCCAGUGUUUAUUUUUUAUAAUUUGUUUUACCUGUAGCCUAAUCUGACUACUGUUACUGUCAAUCUAAUGCGUUCAUAAUAACACAAGGCUAUAACAACAAUAAACUGAAGUUAUAGGCUACUUAUGCCAGCUCCUAUAGGCUACACAAGUGGCACAAAUUGAUUUGCAAUGACUCUAGUGAUAUUGUUAUUUCAACAUAUGUAUUGUAUAAAAUGGAAGCCUACAAUGGCAUAGACAUUAAUAGGCUACUUGACAGCCGACAGAGGCAAAUGUAUAAUUCUCCACAUUUAGCCUAAUGUCAGCUUCAUUGAGGACUUUUCCCCAUAGAAAGAACCUUGCUAGGUUCCAUAACUUCAACUUCCAUUUUAAAUUUCCACUAGAGCAGCCCCUGAGACUCAAGAACUGAGCAUGCAUAAAGCACUUGGCUUGAUAACCAUUUUCUUUAAGCAGUCAACAUUAGAAUGCAGUUUAAACCACCUCCUAGCGGAUUUGUGUAAUGCGCUCUAGUGCGCCCAAAGUCUUUUUCCAGUGCUUUGUCUGCACUAUUUCUUGAUGUGCAUCAGUUCUGUCGCAUUAAUGUGUUACAGAGAAAGGUUUGGAAAGCAGCAGGUCACAGUGAAAUAUAUUGUCACAACCUGCUCCUUCUCCUCUAUAUAUUUUGAAGAGAAAUGGCGUCCAACAUGGCAUUUUUCUUUCAAAUAUAUUUCACUGUGACCUGCUGCUGACUGUCAGGUAGUUAGGCAGGCUGUUGCUAAGUGAGUGAUUGGUGGGAGGGAGUGUGUGUUGAUUGCAGUACACUUAUAAGCUAAGUCACGGUGAAUGUACACCAAAUAGCAGUAAAUUGCAGUGUGCUGCUUAGGCCGCCCAUUGUGAGUCGCUUGUGGGUAUGCUGGCAGCAUAUGGCAGCAUGUUCGAUUGUGCAUCAAGAAUUCAGCAUAGCAAGUUUGUAUGAAGUUCUGGUUAUUAAAUGGGUACAUAGUUCAAUAGGAAUAUCCUCUAAAAAGCUCUGGUGACAAACAAGCUUUGCUGCCCUGUUUCCAAUUGUCCACAUGCCUGGGAGGAGGUAAAGUAAAUAAACUCAGCAAAAAAAGAAACUUCCUCUCACUGUCAACUGCGUUUAUUUUCAGGAAACUUAACAUGUGUAAAUAUUUGUAUGAACAUAACAACAUUCAACAACUGAGACAUAAACUGAACAAGUUCCACAGACCUGUGACUAACAGAAAUGGAAUAAUGUGUCCCUGAACAAAGGGGGGGGGUCAAAAUCAAAAGUAACAGUCAGUAUCUGGUGUGGCCACCAGCAGCAUUAAGUACUGCAGUGCAUCUUCUCCUCAUGGACUGCACCAGAUGUGCCAGAUCUUGCUGUGAGAUGUUACCCCACUCUUCCACCUAGGCACCUGCAAAUUCCCGGACAUUUCUGGGGGGAAGGGCCCUAGCCCUCACCCUCCGAUCCAGCAGGUCCCAGGCGUGCUCAAUGGGAUUGAGAUCCGGGCUCUUCGCUGGCCAUGGCAGAGCACUGACAUUCCUGUCUUGCAGGAAAUCACGCACAGAACGAGCAGUAUGGUUGGUGGCAUUGUCAUGCUGGAGGGUCAUGUCAGGAUGAGUCUGCAGGAAGGCUACCACAUGAGGGAGGAGGAUGUCUUCCCUGUAACGCACAGCGUUGAGAUUCCCUGCAAUGACAACAAGCUCAGGCCGAUAAUGCUGUGACACACCGCCCCAGACCAUGACGGACCCUCCACCUCCAAAUCGAUCCCGCUCCAGAGGACAGGCCUCGGUGUAACGCUCACUGCUUUGACGAUAAACACGAAUCCGACCAUCACCCCUGGUGAGACAAAACCGCAACUCGUCAGUGAAGAGCACUUUUUGCCAGUCCUGUCUGGUCCAGCGACGGUGGGUUUGUGCCCAUAGGCGACGUUGUUGCUGGUGAUGUCUAGUGAGGACCGGCCUUACAAGUCUACAAGCCCUCAGUCCAGCCUCUCUCAGCCUAUUGUGGACAGUCGAGCACUGAUGAGGGAUUGUGCAUUCCUGGUGUAACUCGGGCAGUUGUUGUUGCCAUCCUGUACCUGUCCCGCAGGUGUGAUAUUCAGAUGUACCUUUCCUGUGCAGGUGUUGUUACACAUGGUCUGCCACUGCGAGGACUAUCAGCUGUCCGUCCCCUCUCCCUGUAGUGCUGUCUUAGGCAUCUCACAGUACGGACAUUGCAAAUUAUUGCCCUGGCCACAUCUGCAGUCCUCAUGCCUCCUUGCAGCAUGCCUAAGCACGUUCACACAGAUGAGCAGGGACCCUGGGCAUCUUUCUUUUGGUGUUUUUCAGAGUCCGUAGAAAGGCCUCUUUAGUGUCAUAAGUUUUCAUAACUGUGACCUUAAUUGCCUACCGUCUGUAAGCUGUUUGUGUCUUAACGACCGUUCCACAAGUGCAUGUUCAUUAAUUGUUUAUGGUUCAUUGAACAAGCAUGGGAAACAGUCUUUAAACCCUUUACAAUAAAGAUCUGUGAAGUUAUUUGGAUUUUGACUAAUUAUCUUUGAAAGACUGGGUCCAGAAAAAGGGAUGUUUCUUUUUUUUUUGCUGAGUUUACAUUUUGAGAAUGUAAAAAAAAAUAUGUAUUGAGCUGCCAACUAGCUAGCUAUCUAGCCAACUUCACAUACUGUAUAGAUAGCUAAGUUAAUAAAAAAUCACCAUCUGCUUAACUUAAACAACAUAUUAGCCAGCUAUCUUGAUGUUUUUAUCACUGUAAAAAGCUAACUCCAAAUGCAUUUGUAGGUAGCUAGCUAACAGCCAUGGAGGAGAGUAAAAGGAUAGCAGCCCCAACUGUCAGUAAGAGAGUAAGCUAUUCUGGAUAGGGCAGGUACUUUUGUGUAGUUCCUGUCCCUAGAAGUGAGGAUGGAGAUAAUAGUAACAUAAUAUUCAGUGAGGUGUAAUUUGACUAUAAUGAAGUAUGUUUCUUGUGAUGUUUUCUGUGCUCAGAUAAAGAGAGCUAUGAAAGCCUGUCUAUAAAUGAAGAGCAGUGGUUCUCAGUCCUGGUCCAGGGGACUCAAAGGGGUGCAGAUUUUGUUUUUUUCCUUAGCGCUGCAGAGCUGUUUCAAAUGAUCAACUCAUCAUCAAACUUCAAGUGGUAUUUAUGUAUUCAUUUGUGAUGCUAUCCUUGUUAUGAUCCUGUUAUUGUCACAUGCUACACAUAUGUGUGCCCAUGCAUCUAUCAAUCCAAUGUUAUCAGGGAUAUUAUACUUUAGUAAUCCACAAUGACCUGGUGAUGUAAAAGUCUAAUUGCUUUGUCUUCCAUAUUCCUACAGAUACUUUGUAACUGGAGAUUCCUUCAUAAUGAUUGCUUACAGUUAACUUGUAGGGCACUGCAAGGUUGGGUGACAAGGGCCACCUGGGACUGCCUCCUGGAGGAAUUCGGGUGUGUUAAGGCUACCUGUGUCCUGCGUAACUUCAUGAGGAUGGACAUGAGGAGCAGGAGGGGAUGUGCAGCUCGCUGCCCGUGUGCCAAAGGAGUAGUCUGCUGCUCUGCAGGAUGUUUCAAGGAUGGGGUCCAACAACGCAGCAAGACAGGCAGUCUGUGUGCGGGAGAUCUUCACCACCUACUUCUUCGAAGAGGGUGCUGUUCCCUGGCAACACCAUAGACUACACUAUGCACAACCAAAGGCUCUUUAAAGAGCCAUUCACAUUGCAAUAAGAGUAUUCUUCCAUUAACUUAGCUAUGUCAACUGCAGUUAUUUAAUUCCAAGUUUCUCUCCCUUUGAUUUCUACUUCUCAGAUGAGGGGGCUGUUUAGGUAUAAUUUUAUUUUUUUAAACAGGCUAUUUUAAAUCACCCAUAUUGAAAAAAUGUAGAACAAUUAGACACGCUAUAACCCACACCUACACAGUCAUGUAUCAAUCUGAUUGAUGGAUUGUGUUGUGCAGUAAGCAGGCUCUGAUGUAUAACUGUGGCUCCUUCCACCUUCAAAGAAUAGGCAAGAGGGCACACCAUGGAGAAUAGUAAGACACGUCAUUAUUUCUAUAACUACGCUAUAUUGUUUGUCCUAAUGUGUUCGUUCAUGUUUUUCAGCAUAAAGUACUCUGCAGCCACUUAGUGUGGUGUGGACACCAGGUUAUAUCAGCUGUGUCGGUGAACCCUUCCCGCAUCUGAACUGGCUACAUAGAGGCCACAGCAUGAUCAGAGAUAUGUUUUGAUGUGAGAGAGGAUGCCAACCCCCAGUGCCAUCAUCGCCACCUCACCCGCUUUUAAGAUAACAUUCGGGCCAACUAGACACUUAUGUAAUUGUGAUGAACUGAGAGAAUAUUUGGGUUGCACUAUGAUUCAUUAAUCAUAUGCUGCCUUCCCUGCUAUGUUCUUACCUCUUUCCCUUUCUGUAUUUUACACCUCUCUCGCACCUCCUCUUUCUUCCUCUGUUUUAUAAUGCACAACAGAUGUGCAUUGAAGUACAGAUUGAACUUGUAUUUAUAAUAUUACAAUUAUAGUAUUUAUAAUGCUUGUAUUUAUAAGACUUGGAUAAUGAACUUCUUUCAAUAAAGCGUUU
This is a long non-coding RNA of Salvelinus fontinalis (brook trout), 6722 nucleotides long. RefSeq lists it as uncharacterized. The transcript is spliced from 3 exons. The record is from RefSeq and is a predicted model, not a curated record. NCBI's taxonomy places the organism in Eukaryota, Metazoa, Chordata, Actinopteri, Salmoniformes, Salmonidae.